GUGGCUGUCCUUCCAUCAAUACCAGACUGAUCCAAUUAUUACAGCUUCAUAGUAAGGUGGUGUUUGGUUGUGUUUAGAACAGCAGUUGACAUUUUUAUAUUGCUCUUGUACCCAGUUAUCUUGCCAAACUCUCCUAUUAUUUUUUUUCUUUUCUUUCUUUAUUUUUGAGACAGAGUCUCUCUCUUUGUUGUCCAGGCUGGAGUGCAGUGGCAUGAUCUUGGCUCACUGCAACCUCCACCUGCAGGGUUCAAGCGAUUCUCCUGUCUCAGCCUCCCAAGUAGCUGGGAUUACAGGUGCCCACCACCACGCCCAGCUACUUUUCGUAUUUUUAGUAGAGAUGGGGGUUUCACCAUGUUGGCCAGGCUGGUCUCGAACUCCUGACUUCAGGUGACCCACCCACCUUGACCUCCCAAAGUGCUGGGAUUACAGGUGUGAGCCACUGCACCCAGCAAACUCUCCUGUUAUUCUAAUCAUGUACAGGUAGUUCCUUUUGGUUUUGUAAGUAAAAAAGCAUUAUCAUCUGCAAGUAUUGACAGCUUUUUAUCAACUUAAAAAGUUUUUAUGCACCUUUUUAUUUUUUCUGGUUUUAUUGCCCUAGCAAAACUCUUCAAUACAUUGUUGCCUAAAUGUGGCAAUAGAAUAAUUUUUUUUUUCCAUUUCUAACUUGGAAGAGGAUUCUUCCAACAAUUUUUCAUUUAGGGAAUGCACCACACUCUCGAUGUGCGUACAGAGAAGAUGGCUGGCUGGCUGGAUCCAGGGUUUUAAUGUUUCCAGGACAAGAGCAUGGGAACAACCAUCUCCUGGAAUGGCCCUUCCACAGGAAGAGAGGAGGACACAUGGCACAGAGGAAGGAUGGGGCACCUGGAUUCAAAAUCUGCUUACACCAUCCACGGAGCCUGGGAUGUUGAAGAAUUAGUUUUUUCUCUUGGAACUUGCUUUCCUUACUUGUAAAAUAAAGUUAAUCCUACAAACACUACAAGGCCAUUGUGAGGGUCAAAUGAGACCAGGCAUGGUAAAGUAUCUUGUAAACAGCAAAUUACGAAAAACAAAUACAAACAAAACAGAAAACGUAAAACAACAACAAAGGUCUUGGUUCUAAAGGACAUGAAACUUUCAUUUGACCCAAUUUAGAGAUCAUUCAUUCCUUCAACAAAUAAUAAUUGAAGCCCUGCGAUGUGCCAUACCUUCACACAUUCUAAGAAUUAUUCCUAUUUACACACUUUCAAGAAACCUAUCAUUUCCGGUUGGGAAGGACACCCACAGCAUCCCCUCUACCCCGGCCCCCAUUGGAACCCAUGGGGAUGCCUCUGCUGCUUUCUCAUUUUCUUUCCUUGGCCUUGUCCCACCUGAAUCACUACUGAAUUCCUCCUCUAACAGCUUCUUUCUGGGUGCCCUUGACUGGCAGAAGCAGCCAUGGCCUCUGCUUUAAGAUGAGCUCAGCUUGUGUAAAGAGUGCAGAUUAACUAAUAUAGGCUUCUCUGUUAGAGGGAGCCAAGUAUAUUUGUGCACUUGCCCA
This 1516-nucleotide long non-coding RNA is filed under the name Homo sapiens (human). Its description in RNAcentral is "HSALNT0300754". Lineage: Eukaryota; Metazoa; Chordata; Mammalia; Primates; Hominidae. The record is from RNAcentral.